GACGAACGCUGGCGGCGUGCUUAACACAUGCCAGUCGAACGGUGAAGCGCCUUCCUUUUUGGUGGGUGUGGAUGAGUGGCGAACGGGUGAGUAACACGUGAGUAACCUGCCCCCUUCUUCUGGAUAACCGCAUGAAAGUGUGGCUAAUACGGGUUAUUCUGGGUCUGUCGCAUGAUGGGUCUGGGAAAGAUAUUGUUUCGGUGGGGGAUGGGCUCGCGGCCUAUCAGCUUGUUGGUGGGGUGAUGGCCUACCAAGGCGGUGACGGGUAGCCGGCCUGGGAGGGUGGACGGUCACACUGGGACUGAGACACGGCCCAGACUCCUACGGGAGGCAGCAGUGGGGAAUAUUGCACAAUGGGCGCAAGCCUGAUGCAGCGACGCCGCGUGAGGGAUGGAGGCCUUCGGGUUGUGAACCUCUUUCGCCAGUGAAGCAGGCCUGCCUCGUUUGUGGGUGGGUUGACGGUAGCUGGAUAAGAAGCGCCGGCUAACUACGUG
This 494-nucleotide ribosomal RNA is filed under the name uncultured bacterium. RNAcentral describes it as "partial 16S ribosomal RNA". It matches the Rfam family "Bacterial small subunit ribosomal RNA", at positions 28 to 507 of the family's 1533-position model. The record is from RNAcentral.